Molecule: non-coding RNA, 1365 nt
Organism: Biomphalaria pfeifferi
Lineage: Eukaryota; Metazoa; Mollusca; Gastropoda; Planorbidae
Source: the annotation of a GenBank genome assembly
GGGGGGGGGGGGGGAGGGUCCCAGGUUCGAAUAAUGAUGAAGACUGGGAUUUUUAAUUUUGGGAUCCUUAGAGCUUCUCCGAGUCUAUCCAGCUCUGAGUACCAGACAUUAGAGGAACUUUACUUUUUUUUUUUUAGCUUGCAGAUAGACUCAAUGAGCCAGUGCACAUAGACAAUUAUUAAACUAUCAUAUAUCACAUAUACUUUUUUUGGUUUAAUCUCACAAAAUCCCUUUCAUUUUCUUCGGUUCCUGUGUACAUUUGUUUUCAUAUUUCAGUGAUAUUUUGAUAAACUUUACAAAUUCUUUAUUGGUGACUGUUUCUCCAUGAAGAAGAUUCUGACAGCGCCCCACCCUGCACAGUAUGAACUUCCACUCUUUUUAUUACAAUGCACCCUUUUGAUGUAUAGGUUGUGAUCCUCAGAAUACCGCUCUCCAACAUAAGAAGUUUCAAAUAAUAAUUCACUAAUUGAACCUUUUGCUCGGAUUCAUAUAGUACAUAGGUUAUAUCAUUUGCAUUUUUUUUUUGCGUGUUUCCUAUGUUAUUUAGUUGGCAGAUGUAUUUAAAUGAAGAAAAUGCAAUCAUAGAAUACCAUAAUUUUUUUUUUGUUGUUGUUUUGAUUGAAUUUUAAAAUGCAUUUUUACCGAGUAACUAAUCCAAUAUUUAGAACUAUAAAGCCAUGACUUUCUUAGUCCCGUGGAAAUAACCAAUCAACCUCCUAGGUCCAGGGGUUAUAUCUGGCUCUGAUGAAAUGUAAUAAAUAAGCACGUUUUUUUUUUUGUUUUUGUGGUCACAUUCACUCCUCGUAUUCUUGAGUUCCUUGUAGAGACUUCACCUAGCAUGCUAUACUAAUACAACAAUCUCAUUUCAUAGUUGUAAAUCUUCAUUGUGCAUUGACUUUGACUGGCAGUAGAAACGUCAUGACUUGGAUAUUUAAAGAUAUCUAGCAGCUUGUGCGCGACUAGAACGGAAGGACAGAAAAUAGAAUUUUCAAAGGCACCAAAAAUGCAGCAAUUAUAAAAUAUAAAAUAGAAAUAUACCGGUAUCGUGUUUGUAAGUUUCUGUUGGACCAAAAUUUCGUACCGGUACUAAUAGUAUUUUUCAAUGUUAAAGAGUUCAGCUACCCAUUUUGUAAAAUUCUUAAAUGCUUGCCGAUGUAACACUGAAUCCUUUUUUUUUUUAAUAUACAAAAUCAUAUGCAGAAGUGACCAAUAAAAUGUCAUACCAGUUUGACAAAGACUCGGCAAUGUUUAAUUUCUAGAAGGAUUUUUUCUAAAGAAUUAAGGGAGGGGCAAGGGAUAAAGAAGCAACCCACACACGCAUAUAUAUAUAUAUAUAUAUAAACAGCACUGAGUCUGUGUGUUGUC